UACGAAGGGGGGCUAGCGUUGCUCGGAAUCACUGGGCGUAAAAGGGCGCGUAGGCGGACUUUUUAAGUCAGGGGGUGAAAAUCCUGAGGCUCAACCUCAGAACUGCCUUUGAUACUGAGGGUCUCGAGACCGGUAGAGGUAAGUGGAACUGCGAGUGUAGAGGUGAAAUUCGUAGAUAUUCGCAAGAACACCAGUGGCGAAGGCGGCUUACUGGACCGGUUCUGACGCUGAGGCGCGAAAGCGUGGGGGAGCAA
RNAcentral lists this ribosomal RNA (254 nucleotides) under uncultured bacterium. Its description in RNAcentral is "partial 16S ribosomal RNA". It matches the Rfam family "Bacterial small subunit ribosomal RNA", at positions 524 to 771 of the family's 1533-position model. The record is from RNAcentral.